CCAACACAUUAGCAGCAACCCCUGUACAGCUUAUUGUGAGGACCCAACCUCCAAAGGGAACAACGGAGCCCAGCAGAUCUUCUGCCAAACGUGCCCGCGGGCUGCCUGUAGGAGGCGAUCGGAAAAGCACUCGUCUGAAUUCCAG
Molecule: long non-coding RNA, 145 nt
Organism: Leopardus geoffroyi (Geoffroy's cat)
Lineage: Eukaryota; Metazoa; Chordata; Mammalia; Carnivora; Felidae
Exons: 3
Source: RefSeq, a predicted model, not a curated record